Molecule: long non-coding RNA, 41642 nt
Filed under: Triticum aestivum (bread wheat)
Lineage: Eukaryota; Viridiplantae; Streptophyta; Magnoliopsida; Poales; Poaceae
Description: long non-coding RNA (TAES_LNC008019)
Source: RNAcentral
UUUUUUUUUGUUAAAAGUUACCAUGUCUAUUGCACAUGAAUUGCCAUGAUGUUUACAUUGAAGUUGUCAUGAUAUGUUUCAACUAUUUUCUUCUACAUAUAAAAGUAAGUUUUGACAUAUUAUAAAAUGGCGAAUUAAGAAACUAGACUUGCCAUGAACCAUAAACUAAAAUUCUCAUUAUACAUGCACUUAAAUUUGCCAUGGUUCAUACAAAAAAUAUUUUUUAUGAUCAAAGUACUGGAAUUGCCAUCAUCAAAGAACUAAUUGUCAUGCUCUACAAACUAAAAUUGCCACAUGGCAACUUUAGCUUAAGCAUUAUGGCAACUACAGUGUAAACAUCAUGACAACUUUUGGAAAAGAAAAAAUCGUCCAAACAUAUCAACAUGGGUCUAGUUUUGAAGAUCUCGUCGAGACAGAUUUAAUUGUGAAAAUGGAUUUUUUAAUUCGAUUUUUUAAUUAGGAGAUAAAACAUUUUUAAGCCGAAAACCAAAAAAAUUCAUGGUGAUGUCAUCUAAUUCAUAUGUGGCAAAAUGAGUGGUGAUGAAGGUGUGUGGGUGAUGCGCAAAAUGUCACACGUGUGGACGUUAGUUUUCGUAGAAUAAUCAAAGAAACUUAAGCCAUUUUCUCUUCUGAAGUUUCACCGGUAUCAAUAUUUGGCACAAUUAGUUCGGUGCAGAAGAAACCCUAGCACGCUUGGUGCAGGCCUCGCGUCUAGUCUCGGAGCUAAGAGGGUCCUUAGCGUCUAGAACCUACCAGAGUUUUCCGGGGUUAAAUGUAGGACCCAAACAACAGGAGAAAGAAAGCAAACAAAAGAAUUCCCGGCAGCCUGAGAAUUUCUUUUGCUUGACGAGAAUUUUCUUUUGAUAAAAAAAAUUGGCGCGAAGUACCAUUGUGACUUUGGCAACCUUGGUGUGCAGGUUUCACGCGUCCUCAUGGAUUUUAAAGAGCAUCGCACUCACACAUGUUGGUCAAGGAAGAAGUCGUGUUUAUGCAACGAAAGCAACCAUCAUAUAAAAUCAAUUAAUGGCUUUAUGCACACCCUGCCUAAUGAGACCGCUAAUUUGAGUUGUGGGAAGCUCACUUAGCAAACCACGGCAAGAAUAGAUUAGCCAAAUUGUCACGCGUGCCAAAGCUGAUGGAGUCAAUCUAGAACUAGAAUCAAAGACAGGCAGCAGUGUUUUACUUGCAGGGGACGGCCGACCUGCAUCCCUGUGUGCUGAACAAGAACUGGAGGGCCUCAGGUCAACCGCCACAAUAAAAUCAAGAAGCUUCAACGGAUCAUUUUUGUAUUUUGUAACCUUUUUCUUAUGAAUUUUCGUUGAUUUCCUAGUGUUUUUCUUUGCGGUCAGUAGACUCAAAUGAAUUGAUUUACCUAAACUUUAAAAAGGAGGACAUGUUGGCUGCUGAGUCUACACGUUAGAGUGUCUACAACUGCGAUAGGCAAAUCCGACCCCUCAAACGCGAGCGAACGCGUCCGGGGUGUGUCCGCGGGGCAUGCCUUAUAUUUUGUCUUCCACGCUCACGUCACUUAUAUCCGAAACCUUAAAACCAUGCAAUUCAUGCAACGCUAGGUAAAACACAUGAUCAAAGUGCAGUUUAUCGGAUCAGCCGGACAAAAGGAACAUAAUUCAUCAUAAUUCAAGGCGGACAGUAGAAAUCCAUACUACAAACUACUUAUGAAAAAUAGAUAAAAUAUAAACAGAAUGAGGAAGGGCGAGGAAACCACCAUUUCCUCGCCGGCCCUUUCCCCUUCUGGUCCCCCUUCCCUUCUGGUCAUCGGCGCGGCUGUGCCCCUCCUCCGUGUAGUCGUCGGCGUGCGGAGCCGCGUCGUCGUCGGAACUGGAGGUGGAGCCGUCUGUCAUGUCCGAGUCGGAGCUGCACCUCAUGCCCGAUAGCCUGCGGAGCAGGCGGUCCUGCUCCUUCGCAUGGCGGGUCGCCUUCGCCUUCGCUGAUGAAGCUAUGUACCUAGGGUAGGGUCAUGGACCUGUCCAAACUACCCUACCCAAGGACAUCUCUAGAAGAAACCACCUGUCAAUCGACUCAGAAGUGUUCCACUCGACACACUCGACCAUGAAGCCAACCACUCGACCGUGAAGCCAACCACUCGACGGCCGGGAGAAUAAAGUCACUCUGCAUGUAAACGGUCGGUCAUUGAGUAGCAUUUAUGGUCAUCAUAGCACUUUACUUGUGGCGUUACCAGUAACGCCAGAUCUUAAUGUACCUUAAACCCUACAUAACUGAGGGCCGGAGGGGUCUGGCGAACUCUAUAUAAGCCACCCCCCUCCUCAGUGUAGAGGGUUCGCACCCUUGUAACUCAUACGCAUAUAAUCCAGUCGACCGCCUCCGGGCUCCGAGACGUAGAGCUGUUACUUCCUCCGACAAGGGCCUGAACUCGUAAAUCCCUUGCGUAUACAACUACUCCAUAGCUAGGAUCUUGCCUCUCCAUACCUACCCCCCUACACUACUGUCAGACUUAGAACCACAACAGUUGGCGCCUACCGUGGGGCAGGUGUCUUAGCAACUUAUUGGAGAAGUUGCGAUUUUUUCCGAUCUCCUUCAUCAUGGUUUCAGGCGGAGCUCUGGUUGAGGCCCGCGAGAUCCGUCUCGGCGCGCUCACGUUCAUCGCUGACGACUCCGCUUGGCUUCAGGAGGCCCCGCUCGACAUCGACGCGAUCCCUGUCCGCGGGGCGACGCACUUUCGUGCGUGCGUCCGCGGCGUCCUCCUGCGGCAACUGUCGACCCAGUAUCGGUCGACCCCUGUGUCGUCCUCCCUCCCUGUUUCCCGCUGGCGCAAGCGCUCCGGUCGAUCGAGGCUUCAACGGUGGGUGAGGCACGUGGUGGCUCGCCAGUCGGCCACCCCCCAAGUCGCGGCAAUCGAGCCCGACGAAUCUCUCUACGGCAUGUUCGACCUGUCGACUGGCUCCGCAGAGACUGCAUCCGAGUGCGACAGCAGUGAUCCAGCGGCGGAGGUUCUGAUGGUCGAUGGACCACACAGUCCUCCCGGUUUUCCCCGCACUGACGGAGGCGACGGCGGAGGCGAACCGUCGCAUGCCCAUGAAGAGUAUCUCCUCGAGCCCCUCACUUCGCUGCAGAGGGAAGAUCUUCGCCGCCGGAACAUGGAUGCGCUGCACACUCCUAUCGUUGGAGAAACCUCCGAGGCUCCACUACUAGGGAAAAGCCUAGCAGCAGCGCGGGUUUUAGGCCUAUCAGUAGCGCGGGCAGGAGCGCUACUGAUAAGGCGCUACAGCUAAUGCUUAGCAAUAGCGCGCCUGGAUCCACGCUACAACUAAAUUGACUUAGUAGUAGCGCUUCCUCAGGACAACGCUACUGGUAAUUAGUAGUAGCGCUUCUCCUUUCCCGUGGUACUAAUAUUAUUUAGUAUUUUAUUUCUUUUUUAUUUCAUGUUGUAUUCAUACACCUUUACAUAAGUUUUCAUACAACAGGAAUUUAGAGAUUGUUUUUACAUCAUAAUGAGUUAUUACAUCACGGGGUGAAAGAACCGUGGACUAGUUUCAAGUGGAUGUCCAUCCACUUGAAACUAAUCCGCGGUUCUUUCACCCAAUGAUAUAAUAAUAAUAUCAUCAUCAUCAUAUCAUUAACAACUUAUCAUCAUAAUACAUCAUUGUCAUAUAACACCUCCUCAAGAUCAUCGUUUUCAUCAAUGACAUCACAUAGCAAUUGGUCACUAGUCGUAAUCACAAGUACUCCUCAUUAUCAACUCUAACACAUCACCACAUAAUAAACAUAUUGUACCUCAUAGGACCUAUUACAUUCGAUUAAGACCUACUACAUUUUCUAAGGUAAAAUAGCAAAAAACAAGAUAGCCCCUGACUCUCCAUUAUGGAGAAUGGAGAUUAGCCUGUCUCCAAUUCUUGCCUUUCGCUGAAUGUUACUUUCAAGAACCUCCUUGCGAAUGCCCAUACAUUUCUUCCAUUCUUUGAUGAACAUGUGUUCACGGGUUUUAGAAAUCCGAUAUGCACAGGUGAGCUCCGUAGAUUUACCUGGCAGUAUGUUCAGAACUGAGAGGCGACCAUGCAGAGACAUCAGAUGAGGCACACAAUCCAUCGGGAGUUUCUGUUGAAAAACAUAAUAAUAACUUCGUAGUUAGCAAUGAUGUACUAGUUUUAGAAGUAUGCAAAAGAUGCACGGAUGUCGUAAUAGUAAAAAAUCUUACCAGGGUGUCUCGAGAGAAGUUACCGUGGUUCAAUACAUGCACUAGUGGCACGUAUUCACCAUAAUUUGGAGGAGUUUGAUAAUAGUUAUUGUAAUCCUCAAGAAGAGUACAAAAUGCGAUCAGAUGAUUUUUCUCCUUAUACGUUAAUUCGGUGCCAUCGGUAUAGUGGGUUUUAUCUACCAUCUUCCGCACAGUCUUUGAAGAAUCAAAAUAAGCUGUCAAUGGAAAUAAGUUAUCAACUAUUUUGAAAUAAACAAUAUAAAUAGUUAAUAACUAUAUUUGAGAAACUCACAUAGCGGUACAAUCGGAAGUGUAUCAACAAGGACCCAAAUGUCCAUAUUGUCUUGCUCGAUGGCAGGAUCACCAAGAUCCAUGGUGACAAUCAUACCCUCAUAAAAACCAUACAUUUUGCAAAGUGCUUCCCAAUUUUGGCAACCAAAAUGGGUUACGCUCUGAGCAUUGCACAGAUUUACUUCAAAAUCCAUAUCAUGAUGGGUCCUUAGGUGUAUUUUCUUUGUUUCGAAAUUUUCAUGGUCUUCAAAACCCAUCCUCUCCAAGACAUAGCGUCUUGCAUGGCAUGGGAUAAGCUAGUGGAAUUGUAAAAUAUGAAAAUUAGACGUUGAAAUAGUUGAAGUCAUGCUUAAUUACGAAAAAAACACUUGUCAUUGUUGCGUACCGUUUCACAAUCGAAGGUCUCCUCGAGCUUAAUACUGAAGCGCCGAUCUUUGUCCAGCUAAACGAACCUGUCGCACAUACCUCGAUCGUCGUGGCACCAGCUACACUCCCCAGGAGACUGUCGUCGUCCGAGUACGACAUUUCGUACGUUCAUAAUUCAAAGAUUAAACUUGUACAUAUUCUAGCACAAGUCAUGCCAGAAUUCACGAAAAAAUCUGGCAUGACCUUUGCUAAAAAAGGACAUAUCGAGCGCCUGAAAUUUACCAGAACGGAAAUUAAUCAACACUCCGGCAAAACAUAGGCCACUCGGAGAUGUAAACUGAACAUGAACGGCCACUUGGGCAACAACAUAUCCUAUUUGAGCAACAACACAAGAUAUACAAGGAUAUUUGUCUGGUCUCACCUCGAUGUCGGAGGGGGUCGUUGACUGGGAUGAUGGCGGGGAUGUCGGAGGGGGUCGGUGACGGGGACGACGGCGGGGAUGUCGGAGGGGGUCGGUGACGGGGACGACGGUGGUCACCUGAAACCAUAUAAGUUAUCACUAAUACAUCCCGAAUAAUUGCUUAAACUAAAAAAUAACAACAAAUAUGACAUGUUCAACUAGUUUUAUUAAUUCAACUAGUUCUUACUAAAUAUAAACUUACUAUAAAUAGAAAAAACUAGUUCUUUCUAAAAAUAAAGUAGUUCAACUAGUUAUAUUAAUUAUCUUACUAAAAAUACAUUAGUUCUAUUAAUUCAACUACUUCAACUAGUUUAUUAAUUUACUUACUAAACUAGUUAUGAACCCUAAAUUAACAUCUACUACUACUAAAAAUCUAGUACUAACUAAAUUAACAUCUAGUACUAGCUAUGAACCCUAAAUUAACAUCUACAACUACUAAAUCUAGUACUAACUAGUGGCAGGGGUGGGGGCGAUGGAGAGGUAGCUAGGGGCGGCGAGGUCGAGGGCGGUGGGAGGAGGGCUGCCGGCAAAGGAGGGAGGAGGGGCGGCCGCAGGCGGAGGGAGGAGGGCGGCGGCGGAGAAGGGAGGGGCGGCCAUAGGCGGAGGGAGGAUGUGCGAGGAGGAGGGAGGAGGGACGGAAGGAGGGGAGUACCUCGGCGGCGGACGGACGAAGGCGGCGGCGGCGGCGACGCACGACGACGGUUAUCGGCAAGGGGGGCGAGAGUGAGAGUGUGAGUGAGGGACGGUCGUGUGCGUGGGGAUAAGGUAGGGAUAGUUGUAGCGCGUUUGCUGAAACGCGCUACAGAUAAUCUGAAUAGCAGUAGCGCGUUGCACAUAAACCGCUACUGCUAAGUGUAACUAUAUAAAAAAUACGUCAAUGCAAAAAUACAUUGGCCAUCAAUGAUCUUUUUGUGUACAAUCUGAAUUGUCAAUAUGAGUCCUAUCCGGUAGGAACCGGAGAGGACUCAUAUUGCGGCCACAAAUUUUACACAUAGAGUUCAGUGAAGACUAACUGGUUGUGGUAGUUUCAGAAAUAACAUAUUUAAGGUGGUAAACACCCUGUUCACGGAGCGAGGUGGGACUAAACUUGGGGGCUGAUCUUAGCAGUAGCGGUUUUCCCAUAAGCGCGUUGCUGCUAACUUCUAUAGCAGUAGCACUGUUCAAUAAAGUGCUCUACUGCUAUAACUAGCGGGGGGCGAGGUCAUGGCAAUUAUAGAGCAGCGCGGUUUGUGGUGGACGCGCUACUGCUAUUUUCCUGUCAGCAGCGCGUUUCUCUAACAUGCGCUGCUGCUAAAUAGCAGUAGCGUGGUAUUUUAGGGAGUGCUGCUGGUAAGAUUCUGUGUAUAGGCUUUUCCCUAGUAGUGCUCGUGCCUUAGAGGACGUGCGCUUGGCCAACUUGGCUGAGCGCACUCGACUGGAGAACCUCCAGUGAGCACUCGACGAGCGUGCGCGGCAACGGGUUCCAGAAUCCAGUCGACGUAAACUCUUUCCACCACCGACUCAGGUAUAUCGAACUCCGAUUCGGAAUUUAGCAGCUGCAGCCCGUAUAGCAGAGUCGAUUCAGCCUUCCCAGUCAGAGGCUGGCAGAGGCUUGUUAUAGAUUAGAGAUUUACUCCGGGCAGCAGGAGAUCAAAAUUCAGCUGUAUCGCAGUCGCGGAAUAGGAUUCACAACAGAUCCGUCGCUGCAAAUACAGUCCAGUCGGCCCACAUCCCAAGAUCGCCCCUGAGGCGUGAGGAACGUGGAGACCGACGUGAUCAGUACAAGGACCAUGAGCAGUAUGAUCACCAAUUCGAUCGCGAUGAUCGACGUCGGGUGCCCACCCCUCCCCCAAGAGGUGGAUCGUACGUGCCUCGAUAGCAGGAUGAUAGACGCCAUCACAGUGUUGGGCGAAGGAUUCCAGUCGACCCCAGGGAACCAGGCUUUGAUGCGAGAUCCAUUAUUGUUCAAGGUUUGGUCAACAGGAACAGAGCUCGCCGAGAAGGUCAUGAUAGAGAUGUACCCACCAGCAGCAGAGUACACGUCUCAGGACCAGAGUGUUUCAGCAGAGCCAUCAGGGCCACGAUGAUUCCUACCAACUUCAGGUUGGCGACUGGAGUCAGUAAGUUCACUGGUGAGUCCAAGCCUGACACUUGGCUUGAGGACUACCGAGUGGCUGUUCAGAUUGGCGGCGGCAAUGAUGAAGUGGCCAUGAAACACCUGCCUCUUAUGUUGGAGGGCUCGGCCAGAGCAUGGUUGAAUCAGUUGGCACCCAGCAGCAUUUACACUUGGGAAGAUCUUGCCCGAGUGUUUGUCAGAACAUUUGAAGGAACUUGCAAGCGACCAGCAGGGUUAACAAAGCUGCAAUCUUGUGUGUAGAAGUCGAAUGGAACUUUGAGAGAUUACAUCCAGAGAUGGAUCACGUUGCAUCACACGAUAGAGAAUGUAUCUGAUCACCAGGCAGUCUGUGCCUUCAAGGAAGGCGUUAAGUACAGAGAGCUAAACCUGAAAUUCGGUCGAACCGGAGACAUGUCUCUGAGUUGAAUGAUGGAAAUCGCCACCAAGUAUGCCAAUGGUGAGGAAGAGGAUCGGCUCCGGAGUGGCAAACACAAGUCAGUCGCCCACGAAACCGGAGGAGGGAACUCCAGUCGGAAGCAGAAGCGGAAAGCCGAGCCAGCUGCUCCUGGAGAAGCCUUGGCUGUGACUCAAGGAAAGUUUAAAGGGAAGCCCAAAGGGUCUUGGAACCCUAAGAAGGUGAAGGACAAGGAAGGAAAUGACGUGUUGGAUUUGCCAUGCCACAUCCACACGAAGAAAGAUGAGGAGGGUAAGCUCAUUUACCCGAAACAUACCACUCGACAGUGUCGGCUCUUGAUCCAGCAAUUCCAGGGGAAACAGCCCAAAGAUAAGGAAAAGGAGUCGGACAAAGUUGAGGACAAAGAAGAUAGUGAUGAUGGAUAUCCUCAGGUCAAUUCCACCCUGAUGAUUUUUGCUGAUGUUGAAAGCAAAAGUCGAUUGAAAGUUAUCAAUCAAGAAGUGAAUAUGGUUGCUCCGGCGACACCCAGUUAUCUGAAAUGGUCUCAGACUGCCAUCACAUUCGACCAGUCUGAUCACCCGACACACAUAGCCACCCCUGGGAGGCAAGCUCUGGUGGUCGACCCAGUCGUCGAAGGCACUCGACUGACUAAAGUUUUGAUGGAUGGUGGCAGUGGCCGAAAUAUACUAUAUGCAGAGACGUUGAAAGGGAUGGGUAUUCUGAUGUCCAGGCUCAGUACCAACAACAUGAGCUUCCAUGGAGUCAUUCCUGGAAAGAAGGCUGAGUCACUCGGUCAAAUUGCUCUUGAUGUGGUUUUCGGUGAUUCCAAGAAUUACCGCAAAGAAAAGUUGACAUUUGAAGUUGUGGAUUUCCAGAGUGCUUAUCACGCUAUUUUGGGCAGGCCAGCUUAUGCACGUUUUAUGGCUCGACCAUGUUAUGUGUACCUCAAAUUGAAGACGUCUGGCCCCAAAGGUGUGAUCACUAUUACUGGCAAUCGGAAGAAUGCGGAAGAGUGCUUUCAGAAAGGCUCAAAGAUCGCCGAUGCUCAGAUGGCAGCGGUAGAGUGGCAGGAAUACCAGAAAACUAUAGACCCAAGUGAUUUGUUGUGAGCCAAGAAGCCCGCUACAGAAUCAGCAUUUCAGUCGUCUGGGGAGACCAAACCGAUUCACAUUCACCCGACCGACCCCAGUGUUGCUCCGACUCAUAUCUCUACAACGCUCGACUCCAAAUAGGAAGAAGCGCUCAUCCAGUUCCUCCGUGAGAACUGGGACAUCUUCGCAUGGAAACCUUCUGACAUGCCGGGUGUUCCCAGGGGGCUAGCUGAGCACCGUCUACGAGUCGAAUCAAAAUUGAAACCUGUCAAAGAACAUCUUCGGCGGUCCACCGUCCAGAAAAGAAAGGCCAUUGGCGAGGAGGUGGCUCGGCUCUUAGCAGCGGAGUUUAUCCGAGAAAUUUAUCACUCCGAGUGGCUCGCCAAUGUUGUCAUGGUCCCCAAGAAGGAUAAGUCACUUCGCAUGUGCAUUGACUUCAAACAUAUCAAUCAGGCCUGCCCGAAAGAUCACUUUCCUCUCCCCCGCAUCGACCAAAUAGUCGACUCGACUGCGGGAUGUGAGCACCUGUCUUUCUUAGACGCCUAUUCCGGGUACCAUCAGAUCCGUCUGUAUGGACCCGAUGAGAUCAAAACAGCUUUCAUCACUCCAUUCGGGUGCUUCUGUUAUGUCACCAUGCCAUUCGGCCUCAAGAAUGCCGGAGCCAUGUUCAUGAGGAUGAUUCAGAAGUGUUUGCUCACUCAAAUCAGUCGGAAUGUGGAAGCUUACAUGGAUGAUAUUGUGGUCAAGUCACGAAAAGGUUCUGACCUGCUGACUGACCUUGCAGAGACAUUUUCCAACCUCAGGAGGUAUGAUAUCAAGCUUAAUCCAUCAAAGUGCACAUUCGGAGUUCCUGGCGGUAAGUUACUCGGUUUUCUCGUUUCCGAAUGAGGAAUCGACGCCAAUCCAGAAAAAGUUGGUACUAUACUCCGAAUGAAACGUCCUGUGCGUGUGCACGAUGUCCAGAAGCUUACUGGUUGCUUGGCCGCUUUAAGUCGAUUCAUCUCUCGUCUCGGUGAAAAGGCAUUGCCUCUUUACCGACUGAUGAAGAAGUCAGACAAGUUCGAGUGGACUCCUGAAGCUAACGCAGUGUUUGCAGAGCUAAAAGCCCUGCUCUCCACCCAGUCGGUGCUUGCUACCCCGAUCAGCAAAGAGCCUUUGUUGCUUUACAUUGCAGCCACGGGAGAAGUCGUCAGUACAGUACUUACGAUCGAGCGGGAAGAAGAAGGAAAAGCCUUUAAAGUUCAGCGCCCAGUAUAUUAUAUUUCUGAAGUUUUGACCCCAUCAAAGCAAAGAUACCCUCAUUAUCAGAAGCUUGUAUAUGGGAUUUAUAUGACCACGAAGAAGGUUGCUCAUUACUUCUCUGACCAUUCCAUUAUAGUCGUCAGCGACGCUCCAUUGUCAGAGAUUCUGCACAACAAAGAUGCAACUGGUCGAGUGGCAAAAUAGGCGAUCGAACUCCUUCCCCUAGAUAUCAAGUUUGAGGCAAAGAAAGCCAUCAAGUCCCAAGCAAUAGCAGAUUUCAUCGCCGAGUGGAUGGAACAGCAACUGCCGACUCAAGUUCACUCGGAGCACUGGACCAUGUUCUUUGAUGGAUCUAAGAUGCUGAAUGGUUCCGGUGUUGGGGUAGUGUUGGUGUCCCCCAAGGAGAUAAGCUCAGAUAUGUGCUCCAGAUUCACUUUGAUUCCUCCAAUAACGAAGCAGAGUACGAAGCACUUUUGUAUGGGUUGCGUAUGGCCAUUUUGCUCGGCGUCCGUCACCUCAUGGUCUAUGGCGACUCAGAUUUGGUGGUGAACCAAGUGAUGAAGGAGUGGGACGUUAGAAGCCCGGCCAUGACUGGUUACUGCAACGCAGUAAGAAAGCUAGAGAAGAAAUUUGAGGGGUUAGAACUUCAUCAUAUACCCCGACUAAAAAACCAAGCGGCUGAUGAUUUGGCAAACAUAGGUUCUAAGAGAGAAGCCAUUCCCAGUAAUGUGUUUUUGGAACACAUCCACACACCAUCAGUUCAAGAGGAUCCUUUUACCGAAGAAGCCCCGCAGCCAAAAAGUGCCACGGAUCCGACUGAAGUUGAGAUCCCAACUGUCGUGGUUCUAAGUCUGACAGUAGAAUAGGGGGUAGGUAUGGAGAGGCAAGAUCCUAGCUAUGGAGCAGUUGUGCACACAAGUGUUUUACGAGUUCAGUCCCUUCUCGGAGGAAGUAACAGCCUUACGUCUCGGAGCCCGGAGGCGGUCGACUGGAUUAUAUGUGUGAGAGUUACAGGGGUGCGAACCCUUCUGCCAGUGGAGAGGGGUGGCUUAUAUAGAGGAUGCCAGGACCCCAACCUACCCACGUAGCAGAGGGUUAAAGUACAUUAAGGCCUGGCAUUACUGGUAACGCCUUACAUAAAGUGUCAUCAUGGCCAUAAAGACUACUUAAUUACAAACCGUUUUGAUACAGAGUAGAUCCUGAACUCCUGGUGGUCCAGUGAGUCUUCAUGGUCGAGUGUCUUCAAGUUCGUCGAGUGUCUUCCAGUCCGUCGAGUGGAAUCUCUCUUGGUCGACUGGGAGACGGUCUCUUCUGUAGAUGUCCUUGGGGAGGGUACCUGGGUUAGGUACAUGACCCUACCCUAGGUACAUGACUUCAUCAUUAGCCCCCGAAUGGAUCGAGGUUUGAGUGAGGAAGGAGUUGGCAAUCUUUCCGACCUGCUUUCUGGUGCUGUAAAGGUGUUUUGCUCUGGAUCAAUGACUUUCAAGUGAGGAUGUCAACUUUCUUUCAGUCGCCUUGAUCUAUUCUUUAUAUCUGUCGAGUGAACUUUUACGGACUUGGAGAUUUCCGAGCGACGGAUCGCGGGAGAUCUUCCGUCUGACAAGUUAUCCUGCGGUUAGCGGAUUUAGUGGGAUCUGAAUUUUGGGAAGCGCGCAAAGCGGAGAAGACCGCGGUACUCGGAUGGGAUAAGGCAGGGACGCCCCGAUUCCCGCGCCGCCUUUUUCGCCACGUAUCGCCUGCGCGACUGUUUCGGGAUUUGACAGGAUUGCCUGGGCCUACCUGUCAGCCACUCAGAAAUGUCUCCAUAUAAGGAAUCGGGCGGAGGUUUUUGAACAGUGCCUCCUCAUUUUCCCCUCCUUCGUCUCCAGAUUCAUCUGUUGCGCUCGCCAACUGCCCAGCGCCGCUGCUCCGUUCCAGCCUCGUCGGCGACAAUGGUGAAGGAGAAGACGGCGACUUUGGAGCGGGCGAAGAAGACGAUGGCGCAGGCGAAGGGGAGAGCGCCCAGUCGUGGUGGAUCCUCGUCGCGAUCCCGCCUGCCGCAAGGUUGGAUCCAAGGGGAUUGGAUCCGCUCGACCAUCACCCAGAAGGACCUCGACGACCUAGCCAACGAGGGGCUGAUCGAGCACGGAGCGGCGAGGCUUCCGGGGGCAGAGUGGCAACCGCAGCCUCAGGGGGGUGAGUGUGUCCUCCUAGCGACUCAUGUCGAUUGUGGAUUUUCUUUGCCACCUCACCUUUUCUUUAGGGGGUUUCUGAACUUCUUCAGGGCUCAGCUCCACCACUUCACUCCCAAUUCCAUUGCCUAUCUCUCCACUUUCGUUUCUCUGUGCGAAAACUUCUUGGGUUGUCGGCCGCUUUGGGGCCUCUUCAAACACAUAUUCACUUGUCGGUCUCAGACGGUCAAAAAGGCUAACCCGAAUGACGAGAGAACCCAAGUAAUCCAGAUGUGCGGGGUCUUGGGGUCCAGAUGAGGAGCAAGAGUGCUUUUCCAGCUAUGACCCUUCCUGAGUCAGUUAGAGGGUGGCAGUCGACCUGGUUCUACUGCCAAGACCAGUCGACUGGGCUCCCUCCAUUUUCUAUGAGUCGAGUGAACAAGCCGUCUUCUCUGAAAGUAGUUCCGGAGGAGAAGGCCCAGGUUAGAAUGUUGAUGGAGCGGGUCGUCCAACUCAUUCGCGAUGGUGUGACGGGCAUGGAUCUUCUGGAGGUUUUCCUUCAUCGGUGUAUCCAACCACUCCAGUACCGGGGCCACCCGAUGUGGUUGUACUCUGGUACUGAAGACACCACUCGGAUUCACCCAGAAGAGGUCGAUGAUGUCACGCUGGAGAGGUGGAUGACCGCCAUCACAGGGAACAAGGACAACCCUCAUGGGGCCAAGGAUCCCACCACUCGACCAAUCUUAUGAAGCGGACAAGGUAUGACCACUUAUCUCCGACCGUAAUCAUAUUCCGUCUAUUCUGUUUUGCUGCAGGUCAGUCGAUCGACUUUUGUCUUGUUUGUUGUUUUUCAGGUCACCACUGAGUUGUAUUCAAUGCCCAACGGGGCACAAGCGCAGACUGAGGAGGAGGAAGGAAGUGGAGGUGAAAGUCAGGAGGAGUGGGAAUCGGAUGGCGAUGAGGGUGAUGAAGAUGCAGGCUCCGACGAGGAGGAGGAGGAGGAAGUAGUGCCUCCUUGUUCUGAAAGAAGGUCCAAGCUUGUUCAUGACCCUGCUGUCGAGCACGGCAAGGGGGUCGCGUCUGUUAUGCAAUCGACCAAACGUCCUCAGACGACCUCUCCGGCGCCGACUGAGAAAGCGUCAAAGCAAUCUCGAGUGGUGCCGUCGAAACCGGCGAAGGCUUUACCAAAGAUGAAGAUGGUGAUUCCAACUAUUUCUGGGUAAUGACAUAACUUGUGUCCUCUUGUUUCUCAUGUAUUCAUUCUUGGUCGACUCGUUAGCUGACCGACUGAUUUCUGAAACUGCAGCGCUGCCACUUCUGAUACCUCGGCCAGACCUGAAGAUCAGGAAAUGGAGGAUGCCGUUACUUCUAACCCUGGUAUGACCUUUGCAGUUUCGUUUUCAGUCGGUGGGAUCUUCAUUUUUAACUUUGACUCUUUUCUGCAGCUCCAUCCAACAUCGUCAUUGAUUUUCCUGAUGAUGAUGAAGACGAGGAACCACUGAGGCAAAGGAGGAAUAGGAGAGCGACUGUUGGCAAGGCAGCUUAGGCCGUGUCAGCACCUGAGACGUUAGUCGCGGAGGGGGACAGCGUCACUCGGCCAACCGUAUCCUUUGCGGUGCCGCUGACGAGUGCUCGCCUCUGUCGUCGGGUGCUGAUCAGCCUUCGCUUUUCUCCACCCACCACAUCCCUAAAGACUAAGCAAUCGCUGCUAAAGAAGCUCUACGCCAGGCGGGGGUUAUGAUGGAGCGAGUGAAGGCGAUCCGAGACGCCAGUCAAGCAGCUUAUGACGCCAGUUCAGCCCUUCAGAGCAAUGUUCAGGUUGGUCGAUCACUGCCUGUUCUGUUAGGAUAUGUUAUCUGAAAACUUUCCUUUCUGAAAAUCUUAGUAUCUGUUGUACACCCACUGGGUGUUUCGGUUGAGAAUCUGGGUUGGUGGGGGCACGCUAAGUGCACCCACUGGGUGUAGUCCCCAAGGCUAUGGUCAACUGCUGGCAGUGGACUAUAGUCUUUAUGUCUUGAGUUUUUCUUAUUUCUCGGUACUGUCUUCAUUCGAUCUGGUCGAAUGGAAUCAUAAACCGGUGGGGGCACGCUGAGUGCACCCACUGGGUGUAGUCCCCGAGACUGUGGUCGACUGCUGGCGGUCGACUAUAAUCUCAAGAACACACACACUUUUUUUUGGGUCGACUGAUCGACUCUGAGUCUAGCUGAUAGAACUAGUGGGGGCACGCUGAAUGCACCCACUGGGUGUAGUCCCCGAGACUACAGUUGAAUGUUUAGAUUCAGCUGUAGUCUUAGAAAUACUACAAUUUUUCUCUUAGUCACUCGGAAGUGACCUAUCUUUGACGUCUGUCGAUUGGUUUUUUGCAAAAAUCUUGCGAGCUUUCAGCUCGCUACACUGAAUUGGAGAACAAGCAUAUCCAACUCAAACUUGAUCUGAAACUUGUCCAGGAGAACUUCACGAAGGCGAAGGAGGAGGCAAAAGGUAUGUUUGGUGAGAAUCUUGACGACUGACUUUACUUUUUGCCUGUCCCCGAGUCUGAUCUUAUUGUAAUUUUGCAGAUAAACUGAGGGAAGCUCUGAAGAAGAAGGACCUUGACCUCGCCGAGGCGCAAAAAGCGGCUUCGGACAAGACCAAACUUGCAGAAGAGAAGUUGGCUUCGGUCAGCAAACUUGAAGAGGAGAAUGCCACUCUGAAAGCUGCUCUCGACGCGGCCAACAAGGAGGUCACCCAACAGAAUCACGAGAAGAUAGCCCUGAGUGACAAAGUUGGCGAACUGGCAGGAAAGAAGAAUGACUUGGAGGUUUAUCUGGGAGGACUCGCCAAGAAGCUAUUCCUCAUGCUCGAAGGUAACCCCUUAUAUCCGGCUGGUAAUUACUGACUUGUUGUAGGAACAUUAGCUUAUCCUUGAAUCGUGUCCACAGAAUUCUGCCAAAACUUUGAAGAAGAGACUAGUCGAGUGGAGACUGGCUUGGACCCCAUCAACUCUCCAGUGAAAGAUGAAGCUGCUAUGAACGUGCUCUGCCUCGAGUCUCGCGUUGCUGCAGUGGUCGACUACCUUGCAAGGCUGAAAGCUGCAACGUCACGCAUCAAUACAUCACUCUGCCCAGAAGAAACACUUCAGAACGACCUCGAGUCUCUGAUGACUCAACUGAACGAAGUUCCAAGUCGACUGCAAGAAUGGAAAAAGUCUUCUGCCAGGUGUGGUGCCGAUGUUGCUCUGUCCUUAGUCCACGUCCACUGCAAGGAAGCGAGAGAAGACAAGCUGGCGUCUCUCAAGGUGGCCAAUACCAGGAAGCAUGACUUUCGUUCUUUCAUGGAGACCUUCAUUGCUGCAGCCACUCGGAUCGCAGACGGGAUCGAUCUGGACGAGUUUGUUGCGCCUUCCAGCCUCUGCGGGAGGGGUAAAAAACUUCUAUGCUUGAUGCUUUGAAUUUGCCUCGGAAUGCCGAGUGAUUUUUGUAACCGAUAAACCUUAACAGGCUUGCCGCCUGAGCACUUCUGGACCCGUAGGACGUUAUCUGAACUUGGUUUGUCGCUGAAAUAUGUUUUCUUCUGCUUUCGAGCAACCAUCUUUCUUGGGCUGGAGUAUAUACUAGUGACUAUGAUGCUCUUUUGCAGGUAGGGACGAAGCACAAAUUGCAAUCGACUUGUACUCAUCAUGUUUAGGCGAGUGCUGGGCUGCCGCUAAGCCUCUCGAGUAGGAGAUUUGUUCUCCACUCGACAGGAUUUUUGAAACUUAGGCGAGCACUGGGCUGCAGCUAAGCCCCCGAGUGAGAGUUUGCUCUUCACUCGGUAGGAUUUUAGAAACUUAGGCGAGCACUGGGCUGCAGCUAAGCCCCCGAGUGGGAGGUUUGCUCUCCACUCGGUAGGAUUUUCGAAACUUAGGCGAGCACUGGGCUGCAGCUAAGCCCCCGAGUGAGAGUUUGCUCUUCACUCGGUAGGAUUUUAGAAACUUAGGCGAGCACUGGGCUGCAGCUAAGCCCCCGAGUGGGAGGUUUGCUCUUCACUCGGUAGGAUCUUAGAAACUUAGGCGAGCACUGGGCUGCAGCUAAGCCCCCGAGUGGGAGGUUUGCUCUCCACUCUGUAGGAUUUUAGAAACUUUAGGCGAGCACUGGGCUGCAGCUAAGCCCCCGUGUGGGAGGUUUGCUCUCCACUCAGUAAGAUUUUCGUGGCAUAGUUUUGGAGGGGAAGGUAGCAGUCAACCUGCGUUCGUCCUCCUUGCGGAGCGCAGUUGUAUUUGUGGCGUAGCUCGGAAGGAGAAGGCAGGAGUCGACCUGCACCUCAUCCUCUUCGCGGAGCGCACGUUGUAUUUUAUACUUAGGCGAACACUAGGUUGCAGCUAAGCCUCCGAGUGGAAGGCUGGCUUACCACUCGGUAGGAUUUUGUUGAAACUUAGGCGAGUACUUGGACUGCAGCUAAGCCCCCGAGUGGAAGGCUGGCUUACCACUCGGUAGGGUUUUCAAAAGCUUAGGCGAGCACUGGGCUGCAGCUAAGCCUCCGAGUGGAAGGCUGGCUUACCACUUGGUAGGAUUUUGUUGAAACUUAGGCCAGUACUUGGACUGCAGCUAAGCCUCCGAGUGGAAGGCUGGCUUGCCACUCGGUAGGAUUUUGUUUAAACUUAGGCGAAACAGAUUCGCAGCUAAGCCUCCGAGUGGAAGGCUGGCUCACCACUCGGUAGGAUUUUUUUUACAAACUUAGGCAAAACGGAUUCGCGGUUAAGCCACCCACUGGGGGACUGAUUUAUAAGAACAAAAACAAUAACAAUCACUGGGGGAAAUUAUGAAACUCUUGUCUUUGAUAAAUAAACUACAGAAGUACUUUUAUUACAACUCAUCCGAGUGAAAACUUAAGUAUAAAAGGGGCGGAGCAGCUCCGCGUUCCAUGCUCGGGGCUCGUCAAUCUGGUGCUCGACGUUGUAAAGGCGGUAUGAUCCAUUGUGGAGAACCUUGGUGACGAUGAAGGGACCUUCCCAAGUAGGAGCAAGCUUGAGUGGUUUCUGCGGAUCCACUCGGAGAACUAAAUCUCCCUGCUGGAAAGCUCGACUCUUCACGUUUCUGGCAUAGAAGCAACGCAAGUCCUGCUGGUAAAUGGUCGAUCGGAACAAAGCCAUCUCUCUUUCUUCUUCUAGAAGGUCGACCGCGUCCUGUCGGGCUUGCUCUGCUUUAGCUUCAGUGUAGAGUUCGACUCGAGGUGCAUUGUGAAGCAGGUCACUCGGCAAGACUGCUUCAGCUCCGUAGACCAAGAAGAACAGAGUCCUCCCAGUCGACCGGUUUGGUGUGGUCCUUAAUCCCCAAAGCACCGACGGAAGUUCGUUGACCCAUGCACCAGCUGCGUGCUUGAGGUCGCGCAUCAGUCAGGAUUUCAACCCUUUGAGAAUUAAGCCAUUUGCUCAUUCUGCUUGUCCAUUCGACUGGGGGUGAGCGACUGAAGCAUAGUCGACUCGUGUACCCUGAGAUGUGCAGAAGGCUCUGAAUUCCUCGGAGUCGAAGUUUGUCCCAUUUUCUGUGAUGAUGCUGUGUGGAACUCCAUAUCUGAAUAUCAACUCCCUGAUGAAGCUGACGGCGGUGCCGGCAUCCAGAUUCUUGAUGGGUUUAGCCUCGAUCCACUUGGUGAACUUGUCGACUUCUACCAGCACAUGGGUGUAGCCGCUUCUGCCUGUUCUCAGUGGUCCAACCAUAUCCAAUCCCCAUACAGCGAAAGGCCAGACGAGUGGAAUGGUCUUCAAGGCUGAGGCGGGUUUGUGCGACAUAUUGGAGUAGAAUUGACAUCCUUCACACUUGUCGACUAUCUCUUUUGCCAUCUCAUUUGCUCUGGGCCAGUAAAAGCCCGCUCGGUAUGCUUUAGCCACGAUGGUCCGAGAGGACGCAUGAUGGCCACAGGUCCCCGAGUGGAUGUCGUUGAGAAUCAUUCGACCUUCUUCCGGUGUUAUGCAUUUCUGGCUGACCCCAGUCGCACUUUCUCUGUACAACUGUCCCCUCAUGACGGUAAAGGCUUUGGAUCAGCGGACGAUCUCUCGAGCCUCUUCUUCAUUCUCGGGGAGCUCUUUCCUCAGAAUAUAGGCGAUAUAGGGCACUGUCCAGUCGGGAGUGAUGACCAGAACUUCCAUGAUUAAGUCGACCACAGCUGGGACCUCGACUUUAGUUGGAUCUGUGGUGCUUUUUGGCUACGGGGCUUCCUCGGUGAAAGGAUCUUCUUGAACCGACGGCGUGUGAACAUGCUCCAAAAACACGCCACUCGGAAUGGCUUCUCUUUUGGAACCUAUCUUCGCCAAGUCAUCGGUUGCUUGAUUUUUCAGUCGGGGAAUGUGAUGGAGCUCUAAUCCCUCAAAUUUCUUCUCCAGCUUUCUGACUGCAUUGCAGUAACCAGUCAUGGCUGGGCUUCUGACGUCCCACUCCUUCAUCACUUGGUUGACCACCAAAUCCGAGUCAUCGUAGACCAUGAGGUGAUGGACGCCGAGUGAAAUGGCCAUACGCAACCCGUACAAGAGUGCUUCGUAUUCUGCCUCAUUGUUGGAGGAAUCAAAGUGAACCUGGAGUACGUAUCUGAGCUUGUCUCCUCGGGGGGAAACCAACACUACCCCGGCACCGGAACCAUUCAGCAUUUUGGAGCCAUCGAAUAACAUAGUCCAGUGCUCCGAGUGAACUUGAGUCGGAAGCUGCUGUUCAGUUCACUCGGCGAGGAAAUCUGCUAUUGCUUGGGACUUGAUAGCUUUCUUUGCCUCAAAUCUGAUAUCUAGGGGAAGAAGUUCAAUCGCCCAUUUUGCCACUUGUGCAGAAUCUCUAAUAAGGGGGCGUAGCUGACGACUGUGAUGAUAUGGUCAGAGAAGUAGUGAGCAACUUUCUUCGUGGUCAUAUAAAUCCCAUAUACAAGCUUCUGAUAAUGAGAGUAUCAUUGCUUGGAUGGGGUCAGGACUUCGGAAACGUAAUAUACUGGGCGCUGAACUUUGAAGGCUUUCCCUUCUUCUUCCCGCUCGACCGUAAGUACAGUACUGAUGACUUGUGCUGUGGCUGCAAUGUAAAGCAGCAAAGGCUCUUUGUUGAUUGGGGCAACGAGCACCGGGUGGGUGGAAAGCAGAGUUUUUAGCUCUACAAACGCUGCGUCAGCUUCAGGAGUCCACUCGAACUUGUCUGACUUCUUCAUCAGUCGGUAAAGAGGCAAUGCCUUCUCACCGAGACAAGAGAUGAAUCGACUUAAAGCGGCCAAGCAACCAGUAAGCUUCUGAACAUCGUGCACACGCACAGGUCGUUUCAUUCGAAGUAUAGUGCCUACUUUCUCUGGGUUUGCAUCGAUUCCUCGUUCGGAAAUGAGAAAACUGAGUAACUUUCCACCAGGAACUCCGAAUGUGCACUUGGAUGGGUUAAUCUUGACAUCGUACCUCCUGAGGUUGGCAAAUGUUUCAGCGAGGUCAGUCAGCAGGUCGAAACCUUUCCGUGACUUGACCACAAUGUCAUCCAUGUACGCUUCCACAUUCCGACUGAUUUAAGUGAGCAAACACUUCUGAAUCAUCCUCAUGAACGUGGCUCCGGCAUUCUUGAGGCCGAAUGGCAUGGUGACAUAACAGAAGCACCCGAAUGGGGUGAUGAAAGUUGUUUUGAUCUCAUCGGGUCCAAACAGAUGGAUCUGAUGGUACCCGGAAUAAGCGUCCAAGAAAGACAGUCGCUCACACCCCGCAGUCGAGUCGACUAUUUGGACGAUGCGGGGAAGAGGAAAAUGAUCUUUCGGGCAGGCCCGAUUGAUAUGCUUAAAAUCGAUGCACAUGCGAAGCGAAUUGUCCUUUUUGGGGACCAUGACGACAUUGGCGAGCCACUCGGAGUGGUAAAUCUCUCGGAUAAACUCUGCUGCUAGGAGCCGAGCCACUUCUUCGCCAAUAGCCUUCCUUUUCUGGACGGCGGACCGUCACAGAUGUUCCUUCACAGGUUUUGCCUUUGAAUCGACUCGCAGAUGAUGCUCAGCCAGUCUCCUGGGUACACCCGGCAUGUCAGAAGGUUUCCAUGCAAAGAUGUCCAGUUCUCACGGAGGAACUGGAUGAGCGCUUCUUCCUAUUUGGGGUCGAGUGUUGUGGAGAUAUGAGUCGGAGUAGCGUUGGGGUCGGUCGGGUGGAUGUGAACUGGUUUUGUCUCACCGGACGACUGAAACGCUGAUUCUGUAGCGGGCUUCUUGGCUCGCAACAAAUCACUCGGGUCUGCAUUCCUCUGGUGUUCCUGCCACUCUUCUGCCACCAUCUGAGCAUCGGCGAUCUUUGAGCCUUUCUGGAAGCACUCUUCUGCCUUCUUGCGGUUACCAGUGACAGUGAUCAUGCCUUUAGGGCCAGGCAUCUUUAGUUUGAGGUACACGUAACAUGGUCGGGCCAUAAAACGUGCAUAAGCUGGCCUGCCCAAAAUAGCAUGGUAGGCACUCUGGAAAUCCACAACCUCAAAUGCCAGCUUCUCUUUGCAGAAAUUCUUUGAAUCACCAAAAACCACGUCAAGAGCAAUCUGGCCGAGUGAUGCGGCCUUCUUGCCAGGGAUGACUCCAUAGAAACUCAUGUUGCUUGUGCUUAGUCUGGACAUCGGAAUGCCCAUCCCUUUCAGCGUCUCAGCGUGCAGUAUAUUCAAACUGCUGCCGCCAUCCAUCAACACUUUGGUCAGUCGAGUGCCUUCGACGACUGGGUCGACCACCAACGCUUGCCACCCAGGGGUGGCUAUGUGCGUCGGGUUAUCAGAUUGGUCGAAUGUAAUGGCAGUCUGAGACCACUUCAGGUAAUUGGGUGUUGACGGAGCAGCCAUAUUCACUUCUCGGUUUAUAACUUUCAGUCGGUUUUUGCUCUCAACGUCAGCAAAAAUCAUCAAGGUGGAAUUGACCUGUGGAUAUUCCUCAUCACUGUCCUCCUUGUCCUCAACCUUGUCUGACUCUUUUUCUUUCUCCUUGGGCUGCUUCCCUUGGAACUGCUGUAUCAGGAGUCGACACUGUCGAGUGGUAUGCUUCGGGUAAAUGAAAUUACCCUCUUCGUCUUUCUUGGUGUGGAUGUGACAUGGCAAAUCCAACACGUCAUUUCCUUCUUUAUCCUUUAUUUUCUUGGGGUUCCAAGGCCCCUUGGGCUUCCCUUUGAACUUUCCUUGAUUCAGGGCCAAGGCUUCUCCAGGAGCGGCUGGCUCGGCUUUACGCUUUUGCUUCCGACUGGAAUUUCCGCCUCCGGUGUCCUGGGCGACUGACUUGUGCUUGCCGCUCUGGAGCCGAUCCUCUUCCUCACCAUUAGCAUAUUUGGUGGCUAUUUCCAUCAUUCGACUCAGAGACAUGUCUCCGGUUCGACCGAAUUUCAGGCUUAGCUCUCUGUACUUUACGCCCUCCUUGAAGGUGCAAACUGCCUGGUGAUCAGAUACGUUCUCUACCGUGUGAUGCAGUGUGAUCCAUCUCUGGAUGUAAUCCCUCAGAGUCUCAUUCGACUUCUGCACACAAGAUUGCAGCUCUGUCAGUCCUUCUGGUCGCUUGCAUGUUCCUUCAAACAUCCUGACAAACACUCGGGAGAGGUCUUCCCACGUGUAAAUGUUGUUGGGUGUCAACUGAUUCAGCCAUGCUCUGGCUGACCCUUCCAACAUAAGAGGCAGAUGCUUCAUGGCCACCUCGUCGUUCCCGCCGCCGAUCUGAACGGCCACUCGGUAGUCCUCAAGCCAAGUAUCAGGCUUGGACUCACCGUUGAACUUGCUGACUCCAGUCGCCAACCUGAAGUUGGGAGGAAUCACCGCGGCUCUGAUGGAUCUGCUGAAACACUCUGGUCCAGAGACAUGCACUCGGUUGCUGGUGGGUACGUCUCUGUCAUUACCCUCUCUGUGGGCUCUGUUCCGGUCGACCAAACCUUGAAUGAUGAUGGAUCUCGCAUCAAAGCCUGGUUCUCUGGGGUCGACUGGAAUCCUUCGCCCGCCACUGUGCUGGCGUCUAUCAUCCUGCAGUCGAGGCACAUAUGAUCCACCCCUUGGAGGAGGAGUGGGCACUCGACAUCGAUCGUUGCGAUCGAAUCGGUGAUCAUACUGCUCAUGGUUCUUGUACUGAUCGUGCCGGUCACCACGCCCUUCACGCCUCGGGGGCGAUGUGGGGCUAUGAGCCGACUGGACCGUAUUCGCCGCCACGGAUUUGCUGUGAAUCCUGUUCCGUGACUGUGAUACAGCUGAAUUCAGAUCUCCUGCUGCCCGGAGAAAAUCUCUGAUCUGCAUCAAGCCUCUGCCAGCCUCUGACUGGGAAGGCUGAAUCGACUCUGCUAUACGGGUUGCAGCUGCUAAAUUCUGGAUCGGAGUUCGAUAUACCUGAGUCGGAGGUUUAAAGAGUUGGCGUCGACUGGAGUCUGGAAUCCGUUGCCGCGCGCGCUCGUUGAGUGCCUGCUGAAGGUUCUCCAGUCGAGUGCGCUCAGCCAGGUUGGCCAAGCACGCGUCCUCUAAGGCGCGAGCCUCAGGGGUUUCUCCAACGAUUGGAGUGUGAAGCGCAUCCAUGUUCCGGUGGCGAAGCUCUUCCCUCUGCUGCAAAUUGAGGGGCUCGGGGAGAUAUUCCUCAUGGUCGUGCAACGGAUCGCCUCCGCCGUUGCCCCCCUCGGCCCCAGGAAAGCUGGGGGGCGCGUGCGGUCCAUUGACCAUCAGGACCUCCACCGCUGGAUCACUGUUGUCGCACUCGGAUGCAGUCUCUGCGGAGCCAGUCGACAGGUCGAACAGACCGUAGAGAGAUUCGUCGGGCUCGAUUGCCGCGACUUUGGCGGUGGUCGACUGGCGAGCCACCGCGUGUCUCACCCACCGCUGAAGCCUCGACCAACUGAAGCGCUUACGCCGGCGGGAAGCGGGGAGGGAGGAUGACACGAAAACCAGCCGAUACUGGGUCGACGGUUGCCGCAGAAGGACGCCGCGGACGCAUGCUCGAAAGUGCGUAGCUCCGCGGACCGGGAGCGCAUCCACGUCGAGUGGAGCCUCCUGCAGCCAGGCAGAGUCGUCGACGAUGGGACGUCCAUUAUUCUUUGAAACCUUCCUGGUGGCAGCCUGGAGUCCCUGGAAAGAAAGAAACAACAAACAUUUCAGGAGGAUUACGCCAACUGUCGGUGGGUGGCUGAAUAGAUUCAAGGAAGACUUUGGUCUCCUCCAACAUAGGACUAGGGGGAGUCAUCCUGCUUUUAUUUCUUAUUUUGUUUCUGAUUUGAACUAAUAACACCACUCCUCGACCACCUGCCCCCUCUGGAAGGGCAGCAUGGCAAAUAGGGCAACUACAUAUGUACUAACCCUUGUAACACCCUGUCUAUAUAUACAUAUAUGAAAACACAGUAGGAGCCUUUCCUACUGUUUACCCUUCAAAAAAAAUGUGAGCGCGCCGAGACGGAUCUCGCGGCCCUCAACCAAAACUCCACCGGAAACCAUGAUGAUGAGAAUCGAAAAGAUUGCAACUUCUCCAAUAAGUCGCUAAGACACCUGCCCCAAGGUUGGCGCCAACUGUCGUGGUUCUAAGUCUGACAGUAGAAUAGGGGGUAGGUAUGGAGAGGCAAGAUCCUAGCUAUGGAGCAGUUGUGCACACAAGUGUUUUACGAGUUCGGACCCUUCUCGGAGGAAAUAACAGCCCUACGUCUCGGAGCCCGGAGGCGGUCGACUGGAUUAUAUGUGUGAGAGUUACAGGGGUGCGAACCCUUCUGCCAGUGGAGAGGGGUGGCUUAUAUAGAGGAUGACAGGACCCCAACCUACCCACGUAGUAGAGGGUUAAAGUACAUUAAGGUCUGGCGUUACUGGUAAUGCCUUACAUAAAGUGUCAUCAUGGCCAUAAAGACUACUUAAUUACAGACCGUUUUGAUACAGAGUAGAUCCUGAACUCCUGGUGGUCGAGUGAGUCUUCAUGGUCGAGUGUCUUCAUGUUCGUCGAGUGUCUUCUAGUCCGUCGAGUGGAAUCUCUCUUGGUCGACUGGGAGACGGUCUCUUCUAUAGAUGUCCUUGGGGAGGGUACCUGGGUCAGGUACAUGACCCUACACCCUAGGUACAUGACUUCAUCACCAGCUGUGGUCGACAUGAUCAUGGAAGUUUUGGUCAUCACUCCCAACUGGACAGUGUCGUACAUCACGUAUAUCCUAAGGAAAGAGCUCCCAUAGAAUGAAGAAGAGGCUCGACAGAUCAUCCAUCGAUCCAAAUCCUUUACUGUGAUAAAGGGACAAUUGUACAGGGAAAGCGCGACUGGAGCCAAUCAGAAAUGUAUAACGCCAGAAGAAGGUCGGAUAGUUCUUGACGAUAUCCACUGGAGACCUUUGGCCACCAUGCAUCCUCUCGGGCUAUUGUGGCUAAAGCAUACCGAGCGGGGUUUUACUGGCCCAGAGCAAAUGAAAUGGCGAAGGAGAUAGUCGACAAGUGUGAAGGAUGUCAGUUCUAUUCCAAUAUGUCACACAAGCCCGCCUCAGCCUUGAAGACCAUUCCACUCGUUUGGCCCUUCGCUAUUUGGGGAUUAGAUAUGGUUGGACCACUGAGAACUGGCAGGAGCGGCUUCACCCAUGUACUGGUGGCAGUCGACAAGUUCACUAAGUGGAUUGAAGCCAAGCCUAUCAAGAAUCUUGAUGCCGGCACUAUUAUCAGCUUCAUCAGAGAGUUGAUAUUCAGAUAUGGAGUUCCGCAUAGCAUCAUCACUGAUAAUGGGUCAAACUUCGAUUCCGACCAAUUCAGAGCCUUUUGCGCUUCUCAAGGCACGCGAGUCGACUACGCUUCCGUCGCUCAUCCCCAGUUGAAUGUUCAAGCAGAAAGAGCAAACGGCCUAAUUCUCAAAGGACUGAAACCCUGGUUGAUGCGUGAUCUCAAACACGCAGCAGGCGCGUGGGUCGACGAACUUCCUUCAGUUCUUUGGGGAUUGAGGACCACUCCUAAUCGAUCGACUGGGCGAACUCCAUUUUUUCUGGUUUAUGGAGCCGAAGCAGUUCUGCCGAGUGACCUACUUCACAAUGCACCACGAGUCGAGCUCUACUCUGAAGAUGAAGCAGAACAAGCCCGGCAGGACGUGGUCGACCUUCUAGAAGAAGAAAGAGAGAUGGCCAUGAUCCAAUCGACUAUCUAUCAGCAGGACUUGCAUCGAUUCCAUGCCAGAAACGUGAAGAGCCGAGCCUUCCAAGAAGGAGACUUGGUCCUCCGAGUGGAUCAGCAAAAGCCACACAAACUCGCUCCUACUUGGGAAGGCCCCUUCAUCAUCACCAAAGUUCUCCACAAUGGAGCAUACCGUAUUUACAAUGUCGAUUGCCAGAUUGAUGAGCCACGAGCUUGGAAUGCGGAGCUGCUCCGCCCCUUUUAUACUUAAGUACUCACUCGGAUGAGAUGUAAUAAAAAGUACCUAUGUAGUUUGUUUAUUGAAGACAAGAGUAUUAUAAUUUUCCCAGUGAUUGUUGUUGCUUUUGUUUACGUGAGAAAUCCCCCAGUGGGUGGCUUAGCUGCGAAUCCGUUUCGCCUAAGUUUGAAAAAAAAAUCCCUACCGAGUGACGAGCAAGCCUCUCACUCGGGGGCUUAGCUGCGAAUCCGUUUCGCCUAAGUGUGUGAAAAUCCUACCGAGUGGAGAGCAAACCUCCCACUCGGGGGCUUAGCUGCAGUCCAGUACUCGCCUAAGUAUUUGAAAUUCCUACCGAGUGGAGAGCAACCCUCCCACUCAGAGGCUUAGCUGCAGUCCAGUACUCGCCUAAGUAUUUGAAAAUCCUACCGAGUGGAGAGCAAACCUUCCACUCGGGGGCUUAGAUGCAGUCCAGUACUCGCCUAAGUAUUUGAAAUUCCUACCGAGUGGAGAGCAACCCUCCCANNNNNNNNNNNNNNNNNNNNNNNNNNNNNNNNNNNNNNNNNNNNNNNNNNNNNNNNNNNNNNNNNNNNNNNNNNNNNNNNNNNNNNNNNNNNNNNNNNNNNNNNNNNNNNNNNNNNNNNNNNNNNNNNNNNNNNNNNNNNNNNNNNNNNNNNNNNNNNNNNNNNNNNNNNNNNNNNNNNNNNNNNNNNNNNNNNNNNNNNNNNNNNNNNNNNNNNNNNNNNNNNNNNNNNNNNNNNNNNNNNNNNNNNNNNNNNNNNNNNNNNNNNNNNNNNNGUCCAGUACUCGCCUAAGUAUAUGAAAAUCCUACCGAGUGGAGAGCAAACCUCCCACUCGGGGGCUUAGCUGCAGUCCAGUACUCGCCUAAGUAUUUGAAAAUCCUACCGAGUGGAGAACAAACCUCCCACUCGGGGGCUUAGCUGUAGUCCAGUACUCGCCUAAGUAUUUGAAAUCCUAUGGAGUGGAGAGCAAACCUCCCACUCGGGGGCUUAGCUGCAGUCCAGUACUCGCCUAAGUAUUUGAAAAUCCUACCGAGUGGAGAGCAACCCUCCCACUCGGAGGCUUAGUUGCAGUACAGUACUCGCCUAAGUAUAAAAUCCAUUCCGAUCCGCAAGGACGGCGAGGUGCAGGUCGACUGCCGCCUUCUCCUUCGGAGCUACGCCACAAAUAUAACGUGCGCUCUGCAAGGACGACGAGGUGCAGGUUGACUGCCGCCUUCUCCUUCGGAGUCACAAAUACAACGUGCGCUCUGCAAGGACGACGAGGUGCAGGUCGACUGCCGCCUUCUCCUUCGGAGCUACGCCAUAAAUACAACAUGCACUCUGCAAGGACGACGAGGUGCAGGUCGACUGCUGCCUUCUCCUUCGGAACUACGUCACAAAUACAACGUGCGCUCUGCAAGGACGACAAGGUGCAGGUCGACUGACGCCUUCUCCUUCGGAGCUACGCCACAAAUACAACAUGCACUCUGCAAGGACGACAAGGUGCAGGUCGACUGCUACCUUCUCCUUCGGAGCUACGUCACAAAUACAACGUGCGCUCCAUCCCGAUCCGCAAGGACGCAGGUCGACUGUAAUCUGUGCUCCAUCCCUACCUGCAAGAGCGAUGAGGUGAAGGUCGACUGGAUUCUCCACCUCAGAGCUGCGUCACAAGCACUAAAGUAUAUUCCGAGUGAAGAACAAAGUUCGCUCGAAGGCAAAUGCAAGCAUAUUCAACGAUAAGCCAAGUUCAGAUAACAUCCUAUGGAUUCAGAAGUGCUCAGGCAUCAAGCCUGUAAAAGUUUAUCGGUUACAAAACCACUCGGCAUUCCGAGGCAAAUUUAAGGUGAAGCAUAGAAGUUUUUCUUACUCCUCGGGUGGAGGACUGGAAGGCGCGACAAACUGGUCCAGGUCGAUUCCAUCAGCAAUCUGAGUGGCAGCAGCAAUGAAGGUCUCCAUGAAAGAUUGGAAGUCAUGCUUCUUGGUAUUGGCCACUUUGAGGGACGCCAGCUUGUCCUCUCGCGCAUCCUUGCAGUGAACACGGACCAGGGACAGAGCAACAUCAGCACCACACCUGGCAGAAGACUUCUUCCAUUCUUGCACUCGACCUGGAACUUCGUUCAGUCGAGUCAUUAGAGACUCGAGGUCAUUUUGAAGCGUCUCUCCCGGCCAGAGUGUCUUAUCGAUUCGCGACGCCGCAACCUUCAGUCGAGCAAGGUAGUCAACCACACCAGCAACACGAGACUCCAGUCGGAGCACGUGCAUAGCAGCUUCGUCCUUCACAAGAGAGUUAAUGGGGUCCAAGCCUGUCUCCACUCGACUGGUCUCCUCCUCGAAGUUUUGGCAGUAUUCUGUAAACACAACUCAAAGAUAAACCAGCAGUUCUACGAUAAGUCGAUGAUUACAAGUCAGUCGGGUAGGAGGGAUUACCCUCAAGCAUGAUGAAUAACUUCUUGGCGAGCCCUCCCAGAUAAGACUCCAGAUCGUUCUUCUUCCCCGCCAGUUCACCAGCCUUGUCAUUCAGAGCUAUCUUAUCAUUUUUCAGAUGGCUGACUUCCUUGUUGGCCGCGUCGAGAGCAGCUUUCAGAUUGGCGUUCUCCUCUUCAAGUUUACCGACUGAAGCCAGUUUUUCUUCCGCAAGCUUCGUUUUGUCCAAAGUCGCCUUCUGCGCCUCGGCAAGGUCGUGGUCCUUCUUUUUUAGAGGCUCCUUCAUUUUAUCUGCAAAAUGACAAUGAGAUCAGAAUCAAGAAUGGGCAGAAAGAUAAGGACAGUCGACAAGUUCUCACCAAUCAUACCUUUUGCUUCUUCCUUCACCUUCUGAAAGUUCUCCUGAACAAGCUUCAAGUCAAGGUCGAGUUGGAUAUGUUUGUUUUCCAACUCAGUAUAGCGAGCCACAAGCUUGCAAGAUUUCUGCGAAAGGUCAGUCGACAGACAUCAAAGAUAGAUUGCUUCCGAGUGACUAAGAGAAAAACCGUAACAUUUCUAAGACUACAGCCGAAUCAAAAUAUUCAACAGUAGUCUCUGGGACUACACCCAGUGGGUGCACUCAGCGUGCCCCACUGGUUCUACCGACUUGGUCCGAUUAGUCGGCCGAAAGAGACAAAGAGGUUAUGAUCCCAAAACUAUAGCCCUAUAGCUAACUGCCAGCAGUUAGUCUUGGUCUCAUCAUGAUCUACCAAAAAACAUAGGUUCUUCAGACUACAGUCGGCUGCCAGCAGUCCACCGUAGUCUCAGGGACUACACCCAGUGGGUGCACUCAGCGUGCCCCCACCGGUUCCAAGAUUCCAUUCGACAUGGUUCGACCAGACCGAGUGAAGAAGUUACAAUGAAGAAAUUCAAAAUACAAAGACUACAGUCGACUGCCAGCAGUCCACCAUACUCUCGGGGACUACACCCAGUGGGUGCACUCAGCGUGCCCCCACCAAUUCAAAUAUUCAAUCGACACACCCAAUGGGUGUACAUAUACAAAGAUCUUCGGAAAGAAAGUCUUCAGAUAGCAUAUCCUAACAGAACAAGCGGUGACCAACUAACCUGGACGUUGCUCUGAAGGGCUGGGCUAGCAUCAUAGGCCGCUUGGCUGGCUUCCCGGAUCGCCUUCACCUGCUCCAUCAUGAUCCCCGCCUGGCGUAUAGCCUCCUUAGCAGCACCCGCUUGGUCCUCUAGGACGUGGUGUGUGGCGAAAAGGGAGGGCGGAUCAGCAGUCGACGUCGAAGGCCGGACACUCGUCAGUGCCACAGUGAAGGACAUGGAAUGUCGAGUGACAUCGCCACCCUCUUGAACCGAUGCCUCAGGCACUGAUGCAAUCUGAGUGGUCUUGCCAGCCGGUGCCUUUUUAUUCCUCCUCGCCCUCAGUGGCACCUCGUCGUCAUCAUCAGGGAGAUCAAUCACAUGAGGAGGAGCUACAGGAAAAAUCCAAAGUUAGAAACGAAAAUCCAAUCGACCAAAAGUGAAACUACAGAAAUCAUACCAAGGUUGGAAGUGACAGCGUCUUCCAUUUCUUGGUCUUCGUUCCUGGCGGAGGUCUCGGAGGUAGCAGCACUACAGAUUUCAGAAACCAGUCGGUUAAUCAAUGAGUCGACCAAGAGUUCAUCCGUGCUAAACGAGAAGACACAAGUUAUGCUGUUACCCGGAAAUGGUGGGAAUGGCCAUUCUCAUCUUGGGCAAGGCCUUCGGCGGCUUUGAUGGCGCUGCUCGUGGAUGCUUCGGUGCUUUUUCAGUCGGCGCCAGAGAAGCCGCCCGAGGGCGCUUUGACGAUUGCCCAACGGGCGCAAUCGCUUUGCCGCGCUCGUUCACGGGGUCGUGGGCGAGCUUGGAUCGCCUUUUCGUGCGAGGAGGAUCGACUUCCUCCUCCUCCUCUUUGUUGGAGCCGUCGUCAUCCUCUUCCCUCUCACCAUCAGAUUGCCACUCCUCCUCACUUUCACCUCUGCUCGCCUCUCCCUCCUCGGCCUGUUCUUGCGCCCCGUUGGGCAUCAAGUACAUCUCAGUCGUGGCCUAGAAGACAACAAACAAGACAAAAGUCAGUCGACUGAUUUUAAGCAAACAGAAUGAAGAAAGCAGGAUCACAGUCAGAGAUGCAGAAUUGGACCUUGUCUACUUCGUAUGAUUGGUCGAGUGGAGGAAUUCUCCUGGCUCCUCGGGGUUGUCUUUGUUCCCUGUGAUGCUCGCCAGCCACCUCUCCAGCGUGGCAUCGUCAAUCUCCUCCGGGUAGAUCCGAGUGGUGUCCUCAGUGCCAGAAUACAACCACAUCGGAUGGUCUUGAGGUUGAAGCGGCUGGAUGCGUCGUCGGAGGAAGACCUCCAAGAGGUCCAUGCCGGUUACCCCGUCACGGAUAAGCUGGACGACACGCUCGACCAGCACUUUAACCUGCGCCUUCUCUUUCGGGAUCACCUUCAAAGAGGAAGGCUUCCUCACUCGUUCCAUGGAAAAAGGAGGGAGUCUGGUUGACUGCCCUGGCGUUGGCUAGUCUUUGCAGUAGAACCAGGUCGACUGCCAUCCACGGACCGAGUCGGGUAGGAUCAUGGCCAGAAAAGAGCUUUUUCCCCUCAUUUAAACCCCAAGACCCCCACACAUCUGAAUCACUUGUGUUCUCUCGUCACUCGGAUUGGCCUUUUUCACCGUCUGGGAGCGACAGGUGAAGAUGUGCUUGAAAAGACCCCAAUGAGGCCGGCAACCCAAGAAAUUCUCGCACAAAGACACGAAAGCAGUGAGGUACACGAUGGUGUUGGGUGUGAAGUGGUGGAGUUGCGCCCCAAAGAAAUUCAGAAAUCCCCGAAAGAAAGGGUGAGGCGGCAAAGAAAAUCCACGGUCGACAUGGGUGGCCAAGAGAACGCACUCACCCUCCCGAGGCUGCGGCUCAGACUCCUUCCCCGGGAGCCGCACCGAUCCAUGGGGGAUCAGUCCUCCAUCGGCCAGGUCGUCAAGAUCUGCUUGACAAAUCGUUGAGCGGAUCCAGUCACCCUGGAUCCAGCCCUGCGGCAGGCCGGCCCUCGAUGAAGAUCCGCCUCGACUGGUCGCCCUUCCCUUCGCCUUCGCCGUCGCUUUCUUCGCUCGCUCCAGGGCUGCCGUCUUCUCUUUCACCAUCGUCACCGGCGAGAUGCGCACGGGACGGCUGCACUGAGACGGAAGCGGACGCGGCGGAUAAGUCUGGAGAAGAGAGGAGGAAAUGAGAACGCACUGUUCAAAAAAACCCGUCCGGCGCCUUAUAUGAGGUUACUUCCGAGUGACUGACUUGUAGGCCCGGGCGAUCCUGUCAAAUCCCGCAACAGUCGCGCGCGCGAUACGUGGCGAGAAAGGUGGCGCGGAGAUCGAGGCAUCCCUGCUCUAUCCCGUCCGAUUACUGCGGCCUCCUCCGCCCCGCGCGCUUCCCAAAAUUCGAAUCCCACAAAAUCCGCGAGCAGCAGAACAACUUGUCAAACAGGGGAUCUCCUCCACACCGUCACUCGGAACUUUUCAAGUAAAGAAAUUCACUCGACUGAAACCAAGAAUGGACCAAGGCGACCGAAAAAGAAGUUGGUGUCGUUACUCAAGUUCUUGGAUCCAGAGCCAGAUACACUCAUAGCACGAAAAAUGGGUCGGAAGAGUUCUCAACUCCUUCCCCACUCAAACCUCAAUCCAUUCGAGGGCUAAUGAUGAAGCUAUGUACCUAGGGUAGGGUCAUGGACCUGUCCAAACUACCCUACCCAAGGACAUCUCUAGAAGAAACCACCUGUCAAUCGACUCAGAAGUGUUCCACUCGACACACUCGACCAUGAAGCCAACCACUCGACCAUGAAGCCAACCACUCGACGGCCGGGAGAACUAAAGUCACUCUGCAUGUAAACGGUCGGUCAUUGAGUAGCAUUUAUGGUCAUCAUAGCACUUUACUUGUGGCGUUACCAGUAACGCCAGAUCUUAAUGUACCUUAAACCCUACAUAACUGAGGGCGGAGGGGUCUGGCGAACUCUAUAUAAGCCACCCACCUCCUCAGUGUAGAGGGUUCGCACCCCUGUAACUCAUACACAUAUAAUCCAGUCGACCGCCUCUGGGCUCCGAGACGUAGGGCUGUUACUUCCUCUGAGAAGGGCCUGAACUCGUAAAUCCCUUGUGUAUACAACUGCUCCAUAGCUAGAAUCUUGCCUCUCCAUACCUACCCCCCCUACACUACUGUCAGACUUAGAACCACGACAUUCGCCGCCGCGUCCUUUGUUGCCUCACGCUCCGACAACUUGAUCGCGAGUCAGAGCGCCUUGGCAUUCUUGCGGCGAAGGCAGCACUACUUCGGUCGCCGGCCAUCGGAUGCGUUUGGAGGGGAUCGGAAGUGGAGUGGACGAAGAGGGGAGUGAAGUUGAGUUCGGGUUGACUGCGGUCUAGGGUUUUCUGGACGGCAAUAUUUGUGUGGCAGGCGUGGGCCAGGCUGGGCCAAGCCGACGUGGUGGGCGCGCCCGAACCGCCCCAUAUUUGGGCUAUGAGGGGUGUCGAUCAGUUCGGACGUUUGAGGCGCUUGGAUGGAUCAAAUUUUUGUAACCGGUCGGCCCGCCCGAGCGUUUGAGGUGUAUUUAGGGCGUCCGGCUGCAGAUGCUCUUAGCCUAUCCACUUUACACAAUAUCUAACCUAACUAGUAUGCGAUGGUAUCAGGUUCCAAAGUGCCAGCUAAUAUGAUAGGACCAUAUGUUCCAUCAUGCUUACACAUGUUAUAUUCGUUAUAAACAAAAGAAACAACCAAAUGUUCCAAAGUCUAAUCGGUCAAUUAGUUAAACUCGUACGUCAUCUUGUGGUACUGAAGUCUGACCAGCUAACUGCUAAUUAGAGAAGUAGCCUGGUUGGCAUUAUUAGUUCACUCAUUUUAUCUUUUGGGAAAACAGAAAAAGUAGCUAAUGCUUUUAAAUGAUUUUGAGAGACACUGCACAAGCUCUAAUGAUAAAUUCUUUUAAAUGAUUAGAGGAGCUAAUCCAUCAGUUUCAUCCAACAAAAGGUAGUAAUAAUAGUGCUGAUCAGCAGCCGGCCCAAAACGAAAGCUAAGUGAUUGAGCACGGCACGAAAUUCUGUCACUUAGGCUCCCACUUAAAAGGGCAAGACAUUGUCCACCACCGGUCUUGCCCAAGUGUGACGCGCCAAAAGUGGACGGUUAUGUAUGUACCCCCUAGCCAAGAUGCAUUUUGGUUCACACUUUUCUCCUAGGAUCAUUGAGUGAAAUCCUCAUAAAAUGGUCCAAAUUGAUCGUUCGUAUAAAAAAAACUUGAUAAUUUUUACAAGCUUAGCAAAAUUAAGCAAUGCUGAAUUGCUAGCCAAUCCACCAGGGUUCCAAUCCGACACCGCACUGGGACUUUAUUCUCCCUCUGUUUGGAUCAUCAUGGGCUUUAAAGAUAAGAUAAUCACACUCACCUUUUGUUCAGGAACUAAUCGUGCUGAUGCUACGAAGCAACAUCCAUAUCAAUGGCUUUAUGCAACAUGAGCCAAAUUGUCACGCGUGCCAAAGCUGAUGGAGCCAAGCUAGAACUAGAAUCAAAGACAGGCCAGUGUUUUACUUGUAGAGUACGACUAUAUCCUCAUGCGACUUUGUGUGCUAAACAAGAGCUGGAAACUCAUUCUCAAGGUCAGCUGCCACAACAAUAAAGUCAAGAAACUUCAAGGAUCACUUUGGGCUUCAUACAAGUCAAGGAAGCUUGCUAAUAGAAUAAUCAAGGAACCUUGAGCCAUUUUCUCUUCUGAAGUUCCACCGGUAUCAAUAUUUGGCACACAAAGAUAACUUGAUUCAUUUCUCGAAUUUUCCAAUGUUUUUUGUAUUUAUUUUGACCUUUUAUUCCCUUUUUCUAGAUUUGUGUUGACUUCCUAGUAUUAAGCGGACAUCAACAUGCGGAAUUUUAUUUAUUGAUUAAGUUCAGUGUCAUUUUUUAAAUGGAUUAAUUUUUGCGACAGCUAAAUGAAUUACUUUACACGAACUUGAAAAAAGAGUAUGCUGGCUGCUGAGCCUACGGGUUUAACUUGUACACACAUAAAGCCUAUCCACUUAACACAAAUCCAAUCCUGGUAUACUAGCAUGCGAUGCGAUGGUAUCAUGUUCCAAAGUGUCGAUUAUUCGACUGAUAUGUAGGACCAUAUAUUCCAUUAAACUUAUACAUGUCCAUUUCAUCGUUAAACAAAAGAAACAGCCACAUAUUCCAAAGUCUAUUGGGUCAAUUAAACCCAUAUGUCACCCCUUAGAGCUACCAGCUAACCCCCAAUUAGGGCUUCUUGAGAAUUAGCUUGUUGAGACUAUUAAUUAGCUUCAUUUUAUUUUAUCACUUCCUUACAAAUAAGCCUCGUGAUUAAUUAAUUCUUAAAAAAUGGAAGUACUUUUUAGCUAAAAAUGGAAGUAGUUGUGAAAUGACAAAUGAGUUUAGCCCCUAAUAAUCGGCAGGGUAUCCAAAAUAUAGAAGAAAAAGGGACAAUGCGCUUCACGAAAUUCGGCACUUGGGCUCUCACUUGAGAGCAGGAAAUCGUCCACCCCCAUACUUGCCCAAAUGUGGCAUGCAAAAGAAAUCCAAAUAUGUACUAAUCUUCUUACUAGAAAUCAUCUUCGUUCAAUCGCUUGAAUUCCACAUUAAAAUGAUCAAACUUGAUCAUCUAUCCAUCCAACAAAAGGUAUUGAUACUUUCAUAAGGCCUAGUGAAGAUGGGCAAUGUUGAAUUGCCCACCAAUCCAAACAUUUUGAGACUUAAUGCCUUGUUUGGGGCUUUAUGAAUGGCGUUGUUUUAUGCCUUUCGUUUAGAUAAAAACAAGGGUUCGAAUCCUAACAGACACCAUGGUAUGAUUUCAGUAAAGAUUCAUUGAUUAUUAUUCAGCCUUUGUUAUUACCGAAAAGGGUUUCCCCUCUUUAUAUUAUAAAGCAACCAUCAACAAACAUCCGAGCGAACCGAUACAAAUACACGUCACCACGGCACACAACGCACAUCCAAGGCAAGAUACAAAGUGUCGGGCACAGUCCCACCACUCCAACGACAACCAAGCAAACCAAAAAUGAGCUAAGAAGGACCACUUGGAGACGACGGAGACCUCCACCAAGAACCAUCGAGGAGGGAUGAGACGAACAAUGACCAAGCAAGGACUCUAUGACGGUGCCUUCCAGAAGAGUACGACCAUAGAUAGCCGUCACCGUCUAAUUAGCACAUCAAGUUUUUACCCAAAGCCACACGCAAGAAGCAGGAGCACCGCGACGGAGCCUUCAAAAAGAAUAUGACGUCCACGGACGCCGCCACCUAUUAUUACGGCGCGUGUGAGUAGGAUUUCCACGAAAGAAAAGAAAUAUCAAACUCUACCUCGCUCUCGGUCCGAGGAGAAAAUUCAACCGCGUGCAAAAUCAAGAGCUAGGAUUUAAAAUCCCGGGAGUUUAGAACCUUCCGAAGUCACAAUCGUCUCCCCGGGAUUAAAUGCCUCAAACAGCACGAGAAAUAAAAAACAAAAAGUUUCUUAGCCGCGUGGUGGUGCGAGACUCCGGUCCAGAGCUGGGGCGGCCGGCCGGCAGACCGCCAAGAAACCAAACCACCUCCCGUCUCCGUCCCCGGCCACCACCACCGCCACCUGCCCGCGCCCUCCACCGCUCCUCCUACAAGAGCCCCCCACCCCCGCGCCCCUGCCAGCAGCAACCCUGCGCCGUGCGAGUCAACCUCUCCUCUCCAUCUCUCCCGGGGAUCUCGCGCGCUCCCUCCGGAAUCAGGCGCCGGCGGUCGGAGGGACAAAGGCACGGGCAUGGAGGCGGUCGCGGCGGCCGGUGGCGCCGGGCUGACCGGGUGGCAGGCAGCGGCGCUGUCUGGCGCGGCGGGGUGGGUGUGGGCGGCCUCCCACUACGACCUCACGCCCCAGGCGCGCGCGCUGGCGCAGCCCUGGGUCACCCGCCGCGUCCACGCCGAGACGCCCUCCAUCCUCACCUUCCAGGUCCGUUCCUCCUGCCCCCCAAUCCCUGCUUUUCCCACCUCGUUUCCACCAACAGAAGGCUCUCACCAAAGGAGGAAAGGCCACACGCAGUUCCAGUUCCUGCAUUUGGGGAUAUCUUGUCGUGCAAUCUGGAUACCAUUACCCGUUCCAGCACGCGGUUGCUGCUCGAUCCGUUAGUCCUAGGACAAAGAAGAACCAAUUAGGUGAUUGAAUCAUGUAAAGAGAGAUUAAUCUGGCUUCAAACAAACGAGGAGACAAAAUCAUCAUCGUCUUGUACAAAAACAUUGACGAUACCUACGAUGUGCGCAUUUACUUUUACACCUGGCCUCGAUUCCUAAGCUGUUCUUGCUUGUAUUUUUCUCAAGGGGAAAAAUCCCUGCCUGUUCAAUCAUUGCAGAGGGUGCAGCACAGGAUGCUGGACAACUUCUUCUCCGUGCUGUCAUGCGUUGUCUCUGUCCCUUUCUACACGGGAUUCCUCCCCCUCCUCUUCUGGGUAUGCUCCAGCCACUCCCCUGCCAUGUCUUGUGGCGCAUUGAUCGCCUCUUAUACUGCUUCUGUAAUUGUGAGCUGUUUCCGUUGAUAUUGUAGAGUGGACAUGGCAAGCUGGCUAGGCAAAUGACCCUGCUGCUGGCCUUCUGCGAUUACCUUGGCAACGCUGUCAAGGUGACCAUCUACUCACACAAAAUCGGGUGCAAGCUGGGUUUUUGCUGUUUUGGAUGGUUUGGUUGUUGACACCUUGGAAAUUUAUGGAUGUAGGAUUUAGUGUCAGCUCCUCGGCCGUGUUCCCCUCCCGUGAGGAGGGUCACAGCUACCGAAGAUGAGAAGGAAAAUGCCAUGGAAUAUGGACUGCCUUCAUCGCACGCUCUCAACACCGUUUGUUUGAUGGGGUAUAUCCCUGUUCCUUUCAAAGAGUUGCAUUGCUGUGUAUUUCUGGCUAACGCUGAUUUGGAAAAAUGCAGAUACAUGUUGCACUAUGUCCUCACAUAUGAACCUUGUGGUGGUUUUAUGAUUGCCACGGGUCUUUCUCUGGCUUUCAUGCUCGUUACGUUAAUUGGCAUUGGUGAGUUAUGUCAAACAAAAAUCUCCACACAACCUUCUCUUACAGUUACCGAAAGAUACUGAUGAUGUACCUUAAAUGAAAUUUGAUAGCGAGGGUAUACUUGGGCAUGCACAGCUUGACCGAUGUUAUCGCUGGGAUCUCGUUUGGCAUCGUGAUCCUUGCGUUCUGGUUGGUUGUCCAUGAUCAUGUUGAUGCCUUUGUCGUCUCUGGCCAAAACGGUAUGACCAUAUGGCUGAACAUCACUUUGACUCCAGCGAUAAAAAAUUGUGAUAUUCAAAGGUGAAGAAUAUUCUCAUAGUUGUUUUGUUCUGCAGUUACAUUCUUCUGGGCAAGCCUUUCUCUAGUACUCUGCUUUGCAUAUCCAAGGCCAGAGUUCCCAACUCCUAGCUUUGAGUUCCACACAGCAUUCAACGGGGUCGCUUUCGGAAUUGUAAGAACUCUGACCACUCUGUGUAUGACAUAUGGUUACUUAAUCCAAAGAUUGUAUUGCUUGUAAUAUUGUGUUAGAAUUCUGCUCACAUGAAGGAUGUUAUUGCUCCUUAUCUUGUACUCUUACUGAUUCUCAGCGGGAUUUGCUUGACCUUGUAAUAACACCUCUAGUUAUAUUUUAAUUUGUGAUGAAAAUUCAGGUACCAUUCAACAGAGAAUAGUCUUGACAAUUGAGUGUAUAUAGUUCACCCAAAAAGAAUUCUUGGAAUUAAAUCUAGCUCUAGUUUCUCCUAUCCUUUGCCCCUCCAGUUGUUGAUAAAUCAUGUUUACCCUUAUCUGACAAUGUUCUCUACCCUUACCGAUUCAGGUCUACGGCGUCCAGCAGACGUACACCCGCUUCCAUGGCCCGGAAGCCCCCCUCAUUCUCAGCCAUCAACUACCCCUCCUCGCGUAUGCCGGGAGGGUCCUGGUGGGCAUCCCGACCAUCCUGGCCGUGAAGUUGUGCAGCAAGGCGCUCUCGAAAUGGCUCCUGCCGGUGAUGUGCAGCACCCUGGGGAUCCCGAUUUUGUCGUCCUGCUACGUGCCCGCGCUGAAGCCAUCCGACAUUGGCGGUGGCUCGGGCAACAAGGACGAGGCCAAGCAGGCCGGUGGGUACCUCCAGAGAGUGUUCUCCCUCUUCCCGCAGAAGGCGUACGACGUGGACACGGGCAUCCGGUUCGUGCAGUACGCGGGGCUCGCGUGGUCGGUGGUCGACCUGGUGCCGGUGAUCUUCACGCAUCUGAACCUGUGAAGUCGAUCGAAUUAGCGAAUCUAAGGUUAGCGGCAUUUCGUUAAUUUCUUCGGAGGACAGCGGAUGAUCCCUCCUCCAUGUCUCGCAGGCUGUUGAUCCAUUGAUCUCGGCCUCAUUUUUGUGUUGUAUGUUUGUCUGUCUAGCACGUCCUCUACCGGGGUGUUUUCUUCCUGUACAGUUGUCCAAAGUAGCAACGAGGAAAGUAUACACGUGAUGACCUUGUGUUUUGUUUGAUGGGAACAGCUACUGACUGCCAUGUGCGCCAUUAGUGCUUAACUGAAUCCUCAGUCGACAUAUAUAACUGCAGAAAAGAUAGUAUGCUUCCUUACCGCCUCUCAUUCCUAUAUAUGGCUGGGUUUGUUAGUCCCUGGACUAGGUCAUUUUGGAGACUGAGCCUCAUGGAGGGCCUUUAUGUUGAAAAUUUCGAAUUUCAAAAUUCUUUAUUUCUAAAUAUUCUGAACAAACACACAUGUAUGCAAGGAUGUAAUGUGUAUGUGUGACGAAUUUCAGGAUGAAAUACCUUGAAUUGCGAGCUGCACAAAAAAAAUCAUGGCCUCAUAUUUGUCUUUUUUGUGUAGCUCUCAUUUUAACGUAUUUCGACCUGAAAAUUUGCACACAUGUACUACAUUAUGUAUCUAGGUAUAUGCACAUUUCUUUCAGAAUUUUUUGAAACUGAAAAGUUUGAAGUUUGAAGUUUUUAAAUUAAGGCCUCCAUGAAGCUCGGUCUCCGUUUGGCAUUUUCGCUGUAUUUUGGAUCAAACUUUGACCAUUGGUUAUAUACCACGAAAACCAUGGUGUUGGUUUUUUUUAAUUAUUAUUCUAAAUGAGUUCCUUGUGGUAACACUGUCGUUACAUGUAACUCCUAUUCCCUCUGUCCGGAGUAUAUCCAUUCCUCCGACAAGUAUUUUCGGACGGAGGGAUUGCACUAUGCACCAACAAACAUCCGAUCUUCAUCUCAACACUGAGUAGAAGGCGAGGCGGUUAGGACGAGCUCUGCGUUUGGGCCACUGGCCUGGCGCUUGCAGGGAUCAAGAGCGUGCCCGACAUCACCACUGGACACUGGCCGGUGGUUGCGAAUCGUCGAUGCCGGCUGACUAUUUGAACUAUGGCCGGCCGGUCGCCACACCCCGCACAACUUGUCUGAAAUUUCUAACGUGUUGUACAGUACAAGUCAAACUGGUUUUUCUUUUGUUGUUUCGUUUGUGUGAUUUGAUCUAAUUGGGAUUUUUUUUGGUGAUGUACUACAUUUUUCUCUCGGUAGCAGUUGAUCAGUGGUUGAUUGAAUUGGACUAUAGACAUAACAAAUUUGUUCACUCCGUAGCAAUUGCUUGCUCACUACUCCCUCUGUAAACUAAUAUAAGAGCGUUUAGAUUAGAUCAUUAAAGUAGUAAUCUAAACGCUCUUAUAUUAGUUUACGGAGGGAGUACAUAUUUGUUUUGUCGUCCGGCCCCCCAACCAUUUUUGCCUAGCUCCACCACUGCAAGAUACAAGUGAGACCUGUAAACCCUGACGGAGGAAGUAUGUCGUUGUUGUUACACUAUUUUAAAUAAAAAAAGAUAGCGGAUAGCGGAUAGCGGAGUCUAGUUAUUUUAUUAAUCUGAUGAUGAAAUAUGAAUGUGUGACUUUGACUUGAGCACAUUGACUGUGAAUCAUACUGCAUCUGACUGCCGUUGAGAAGUCGUGCUUUGCCAAGUGGAACGUGCUUGUGCCCGUACGCUACUAGUACGUGUCGACGAGCGCACUGCGGCCGUGAGUUUGAUGACGUCAGGGAGGGAGAAGCAAUUUUAUCUGACCGUGUCACCAUUGGUGCUGGGGAUGGAAAGCGACGGAGGGAGGACGAAGCCGUCGACAUGCCUGCCUCUGCCUGCACGACCAGCGUGCGUCAACACCUGUUGCCGACUGGGCCUGGCGAUGCUGCAUCGCUUUACACAACCUAUUGCAGAAUCUACUAUCUCCUAACCUUUGUACGCUAUGAUUUGUGGCUGCAAACAGCUCAAAUCUUAGGCCGCUCACCAACGUUGCUCGGAAACACAUUAUAUACUUUGCCUAAUUAUUAAGCAUGCCGCGCAAUGGUAUUUUUGAGUUCACACGCUGCCAUGAAAUAUUAAAACCAAUGCCGGGUACUCCCUCCGUUCUCAAAUAUAAGACCUUUUAGAGAUCUCAAUACAGACUACAUAUGACGCAAAAUGAGUGAAUUUACAUUUUAAAGUGCGCCUGUAUACAUCCGUAUGUAGGCCGUAUUGAAACCUCUAAAAGGUCUUAUGUUCAGAAACGAAGGGAGCAGUACGGGAAAUAUGCUCGUUCGAAGAAAGAAAAUGCUAGUACAACAACAACAACAACAACAACAACAACAACAACAAAGCUUUUAGUCCCAAACAAGUUGGGGUAGGCUAGAGGUGAAACCCAUAAGAUCUCGCAACCAACUCAUGCCUCUGGCACAUGGAUAGCAAGCUUCCACGCACCCCUGUCCAUAGCUAGCUCUUUGUCGAUACUCCAAUCCUUCAGGUCUCUCUUAACGGACUCCUCCCAUGUCAAAAUCGAUCGACCCCGCCCUCUCUUGACAUUCUCCGCACGCUUUAGCCGUCCGCUAUGCACUGGAGCUUCUGGAGGCCUGCGCUGAAUAUGCCCAAACCAUCUCAAACGAUGUUGGACAAGCUUCUCCUCAAUUGGUGCUACCCCAACUCUAUCUCGUAUAUCAUCAUUCCGGACUCGAUCCUUCCUCGUGUGGCCACACAUCCAUCUCAACAUACGCAUCUCCGCCACACCUAACUGUUGAACAUGCUAGUCUUAAGUGAAAAAUAUUUGGGAGCAUAACAAGGGUAAUGAUAAUGUACGCUCUUCUUGUGGAUAAUACCGCAUCUUUGCAUCAUUCGUAAACAAGAAAUAUAUCCACUAGCAGGACCAAACAUUCAUGCCACAAGGUAGGACACACCAUAAGUACACUGCUCAGCAUACUACAAGUACAGGUAUUCUAUACGGAAAGUCAAUACGGGUUCACAAGACCUAACAAGGGCUCUCAGCACGGGAUCAUACAACUACAGUGUUCAUCUCUACAACAAAUAAUCAUCAAAAGAAAAUAAAAAUUAGGCGAAGCGUGCGAACAUGGGGAAAAAAUGAAUACAGAGGGGGGAACGAAAUGAAAAAGGCUUCCUUUCACAAUACAAACCCUGCUUGAUGCUCAAGUUCGUUCACUACCACAGCAUCCACCAAGCAGAGCAUCAAAUCAAUUAGAGAGGUGAGUAACACAAUUGAUCCUUUCCUUCCAGCUGUAGGUAGGUAUACACUUUGGUCACGAUGCGGCGAAGCGGCUCGCAAGCAGCCAGGGGGCAUCAUGGGCGAAAAAAUUAACAAGAAUAGCACACGGGAGACUGACUUUCAGCAAAAAGAUUUGUCUGCGGCCAACAAACUUCAGCUAGUUAUCAAACCUUUGGUGCAGAGGUCGGCACCGAUUUCACAUCAUC